UACGUAGGUGGCAAGCGUUGUCCGGAAUUAUUGGGCGUAAAGCGCGCGCAGGUGGUUUCUUAAGUCUGAUGUGAAAGCCCACGGCUCAACCGUGGAGGGCCAUUGGAAACUGGGGAACUUGAGUGCAGGAGAGAAGAGUGGAAUUCCACGUGUAGCGGUGAGAUGCGUAGAGAUGUGGAGGAACACCAGUGGCGAAGGCGACUCUUUGGCCUGUAACUGACGCUGAGGCGCGAAAGCGUGGGGAGCAAACAGG
RNAcentral lists this ribosomal RNA (253 nucleotides) under uncultured bacterium. Its description in RNAcentral is "partial 16S ribosomal RNA". It matches the Rfam family "Bacterial small subunit ribosomal RNA", at positions 524 to 776 of the family's 1533-position model. The record is from RNAcentral.